Molecule: long non-coding RNA, 144 nt
Organism: Thalassophryne amazonica
Lineage: Eukaryota; Metazoa; Chordata; Actinopteri; Batrachoidiformes; Batrachoididae
Exons: 3
Source: RefSeq, a predicted model, not a curated record
UGUGUCUGUCAUUUGUGUAUGAGCGAGUGUGUGUUUGUAUUUGUGCAUGAACUCCCACCCACCUCUGCCUCUGGUUGGCUUGCCAUGAAAUUUUAUUCUUCCUUAGCCAGUCACUAACACGGUUGCUGUUGUGUUAGACCUGCC